GGAUUUUUUGUUGAAAGAAUGAGCGGUCCGAUGUCCAUCGGACAGGUCAUCGGUUCGAAUCCGAUAGGGUCCACCA
This 76-nucleotide transfer RNA is filed under the name Patescibacteria group bacterium. RNAcentral's name for it is "tRNA-Asp". The record is from RNAcentral.